This 253-nucleotide ribosomal RNA is filed under the name uncultured bacterium. RNAcentral's name for it is "partial 16S ribosomal RNA". It matches the Rfam family "Bacterial small subunit ribosomal RNA", at positions 524 to 776 of the family's 1533-position model. The record is from RNAcentral.
UACGGGGGGGGCAAGCGUUGUUCGGAAUUACUGGGCGUAAAGGGCUCGUAGGCGGCCAACUAAGUCAUACGUGAAAUCCCUCAGCUUAACUGGGGAACUGCGUGUGAUACUGGAUGGCUUGGAUGUGGGAGAGGGAUGCGGAAUUCCAGGUGUAGCGGUGAAAUGCGUAGAUAUCUGGAGGAACACCGGUGGCGAAGGCGGCAUCCUGGACCAUUAUUGACGCUGAGGAGCGAAAGCCAGGGGAGCAAACGGG